Hordeum vulgare subsp. vulgare (domesticated barley) is the source of this 132-nucleotide non-coding RNA. The record is from Rfam. NCBI's taxonomy places the organism in Eukaryota, Viridiplantae, Streptophyta, Magnoliopsida, Poales, Poaceae.
AAUAUACUCCCUUCGUCCUGAAUUAGUUGACUCAAAUUUGUCUAGAAAUGGAUGUUUCUAAACAUGUUUUAGUGUUAGAUACAUCCGUAUCUAGAGAAAUCUAAGUCAACUAAUUUGGGACGAAUGUUUUUU